GAUGAACGCUGGCGGCGUGCCUAAUACAUGCAAGUCGAGCGAACAGACGAGGAGCCUGCUCCUCUGACGUUAGCGGCGGACGGGUGAGUAACACGUGGAUAACCUACCUAUAAGACUGGGAUAACUUCGGGAAACCGGAGCUAAUACCGGAUAAUAUAUUGAACCGCAUGGUUCAAUAGUGAAAGACGGUUUUGCUGUCACUUAUAGAUGGAUCCGCGCCGCAUUAGCUAGUUGGUAAGGUAACGGCUUACCAAGGCAACGAUGCGUAGCCGACCUGAGAGGGUGAUCGGCCACACUGGAACUGAGACACGGUCCAGACUCCUACGGGAGGCAGCAGUAGGGAAUCUUCCGCAAUGGGCGAAAGCUUGGCGGAGCAACGCCGCGUGAGUGAUGAAGGUCUUCGGAUCGUAAAACUCUGUUAUUAGGGAAGAACAAAUGUGUAAGUAACUAUGCACGUCUUGACGGUACCUAAUCAGAAAGCCACGGCUAACUACGUG
RNAcentral lists this ribosomal RNA (497 nucleotides) under uncultured bacterium. RNAcentral describes it as "partial 16S ribosomal RNA". It matches the Rfam family "Bacterial small subunit ribosomal RNA", at positions 28 to 507 of the family's 1533-position model. The record is from RNAcentral.